GCCCCAUCACUUAAUCCGAUUGGAAGGUGAUGAAAAGCAACCGCACUUAAACAAUGGUAAGAGGAGCGAAGCGAGUCAAACCACCCAAAAAAGAAGCAGUGGGAUUAAGUGAUGGGGUGACUGCGUACCUUUUGUAUAAUGGGUCAGCGACUUAUAUUUUGUAGCGAGGUUAACCGAAUAGGGGAGCCGAAGGGAAACCGAGUCUUAACUGGG
This 213-nucleotide ribosomal RNA is filed under the name Haemophilus influenzae. RNAcentral describes it as "partial 23S ribosomal RNA". The stretch from base 94 to 213 matches the Rfam family "Bacterial large subunit ribosomal RNA", at positions 568 to 692 of the family's 2925-position model. The record is from RNAcentral. Lineage: Bacteria; Pseudomonadati; Pseudomonadota; Gammaproteobacteria; Pasteurellales; Pasteurellaceae.